Molecule: long non-coding RNA, 1227 nt
Filed under: Chloebia gouldiae (Gouldian finch)
Lineage: Eukaryota; Metazoa; Chordata; Aves; Passeriformes; Passeridae
Description: Erythrura gouldiae (Gouldian finch) lncRNA (ENSEGOG00005014192.1)
Source: RNAcentral
AUCAAUAUCCACUACUGCCGGGGCAGCGUUUUUCUGGAUAACAUGGUACCUCGUGGAUUUUCCAUGCAUUGCUGAAAACUGGAGAUUCAGCAGUGGGCAGUGAAAAAGGCAGGCUGUGAAUGACAGCGGGAGACUCGCCCUUCAAAAAAGGGUGGUUUCUUCCCAGACAAAAUUUUUUGUCCAGUGAUAAGGGCAUACCCAGAAGGUCUCCACAGCACUUCAAACUCUGCUGUAAUAGGGGAGAGGGCAGAGUGUAUUACAGCAGCUCCCCCGGGUCCCUGGCUCCUUGCACUGUCAAGCAUCAGACAGGUAAAUUACAAUUUCACUUGUACAGAUGAACCUUUUCUGAGAAGGCUUUUCUUCAUUCCACAGCAGGAGCUGUGGCAGCAAUCAGAAUUAACCUAAAAUGCAAAGCUUUGAGGAUAUCAAAACUUCUCAAGGAUGUCAAAUGUCACAGUGUUGUCUUCACAGCUGGGCUGGAAAGAAAUUGGGGUUUAUAUCUGCAGGUGUCACUAGGAUUCCUCAACGUGAAUCCAGUCCACAAGGUCACGCAGGUCUGGAGCCAGAUGUGCUAUCCUGGGAAGCCAUCUAGAGGUUACCUCAUAUGAAAUAAGCCAUAUGAGCGUCACUGCAUAAUUGUAGUGUCAGGAGAGAGGGUUUUGAAGAGAAGAUGAAGCAUCCUCACUGGAAACUGUCUGCACAUGCUGUCAGAAUCAUAAUUUCUCUAGAAAUGCAGCUCGGGGAGGCACCUGGCAUUACAAUUUUCUUCUCAGUCCAACAGCUCUGGAGGGGAGAGAGAAAUUACCCAGAGAACGCAGUGUCUGGCUUAGACAGGAAUGACUCAGUGUCUGGACUGGGAACAAAUAUAACAACUUUCUGGUACGGAAAUAAAUGUUGAAAAGGAAAGGAUAUGAACUCCAUCGAAGUAUAUUUGCUUUUUUUUAUUCCUGAGUUCAGUCUCUUUGUGCUUAAAGCACCACAGACACAUUUAAAAUAGAAAAAUCAUCAGUAUUGCAGAGUUAACUUGUUUAGAUUUAAAAGAAAAUUAAUUAUUAAUGUAAAACAUUUGCAGGUCCUUUGAAGCCAGGGAGAAUGGAAUAAUCUUGUGAGCAUUUAUUUCAUGUGUCUAUUUCCAGCUUGAAUAAUAAUCUAAAUAUGUGUUUGAAGAGACUUUUUUUUAUUCAUUAUGAUUUUGACCUAUGUACAAAGUUGUUACCAAAUUUGGAU